This 253-nucleotide ribosomal RNA is filed under the name uncultured bacterium. Its description in RNAcentral is "partial 16S ribosomal RNA". It matches the Rfam family "Bacterial small subunit ribosomal RNA", at positions 524 to 776 of the family's 1533-position model. The record is from RNAcentral.
UACAGAGGGGGCAAGCGUUGUUCGGAAUUACUGGGCGUAAAGGGCGCGUAGGCGGCCUGCUAAGUCGAACGUGAAAUCCCUCGGCUUAACCGGGGAACUGCGCCUGAUACUGGAUGGCUUGAGUUUGGGAGAGGGAUGCGGAAUUCCAGGUGUAGCGGUGAAAUGCGUAGAUAUCGGGAGGAACACCUGUGGCGAAGGCGACCCCCUGGUUGGAUACUGACGCUGAGACGCGAAAGCGUGGGGAGCAAACAGG